Diceros bicornis minor is the source of this 614-nucleotide long non-coding RNA. RefSeq lists it as uncharacterized. The record is from RefSeq and is a predicted model, not a curated record. Lineage: Eukaryota; Metazoa; Chordata; Mammalia; Perissodactyla; Rhinocerotidae. The transcript has 3 exons.
CCCAGGACGGUGACAGAAUUGGAAUGCACAGAAUUGGUUGUUCACAGUUCAAAGGAAAAAUCUAACGUGUUCCUAACCCCACGCUGGAGCCCAGAUCGAAGUCCACACUCUGAGAAGGACUGGGGUCCCUAGAUUGCCAACAUAGAGUGCUCGGACCUAGGUACAUGGACUGGAAUGCCGCUUGGAAAGAUUUGAGAAAGACAAGAAGGACGAGAAGAUGGUGAAACUGAGGUUUGGAGAAGUUAAGUCACACACGUGAUCGUGAUCCCACGGCCGUAAUCAACAGAACCAAGACUUGGUCUUAGAGCUGUAACAACAUCCUCCUGGCAUCCAGCCCAGGUCUAGCAGGUGCUCCAUUGAAGAAGCUGCCUUCAUCCGAAGUUUCUCUAUGUGGUGAUGAGACAAAAUCUGCUCCCUGAAUGUCCAACUCCCAAGGCUGAGAAAUGUUUGGGAAGACAGACUGCCUUGGGGCUCACUCCCACUGGUCAGAUCCAGUCUCUGCCUUACCAGGUGAGCCAUUCAGGGGUGACAAGGUCUUAUGAGACAGGCAGGCAGGACUCACUAGCUCCCAGAACUCACGGGGGGAUUGGCACCUGCAGCCCUGCAGUUUAUAU